This 392-nucleotide unclassified non-coding RNA is filed under the name soil metagenome. RNAcentral describes it as "partial contains 5.8S ribosomal RNA, internal transcribed spacer 2, and large subunit ribosomal RNA". The stretch from base 1 to 122 matches the Rfam family "5.8S ribosomal RNA", at positions 35 to 154 of the family's 154-position model. The record is from RNAcentral.
GAUGAAGAACGUAGCGAAAUGCGAUACUUGGUGUGAAUUGCAGAAUCCCGUGAACCAUCGAGUCUUUGAACGCAAGUUGCGCCCGAAGCCAUUAGGCCGAGGGCGCGCCUGCCUGGGCGUCACACGUCGUUGCCCCCCCCAUCUACUCCUUCGGGAUUGCGGGGGGCGGAUGAUGGCCUCCCGUGCGCCUCGCCGCGCGGUUGGCAUAAAUGCCAAGUCCUCGGCGACGCACGCCACGACAAUCGGUGGUUGCGAAACCUCGGUUGCCCGUCGUGUGCGGUCGUCGCGCAUCGAGGGCUCGAAAAAAUUGCCGAGUUCCGGCUCGGCUUUCAACGCGACCCCAGGUCAGGCGGGGUUACCCGCUGAAUUUAAGCAUAUCAAUAAGCGGAGGA